UUGGAGUAUAGUUGAUUUACAAGACAUAACAUCUUCAAAUGAAUUGUCUUCCUGGUUCAAGGAAGAGGCCAUAUCUGCUCAUCUGAGGCUGAUCCCCCAGUGCAAGAGUCAGUGCCUUGCACACAAUAGGUGCUUAAUAAAUGCCGCUAGUGAACUCCCCACUCUGGGCUCUUUUAGGAAAUCAAAGAGCCUGUCAGCCUUGUGCAUUCUCGGGCCCCCUUCCCUGCACCCCCUUCUCUGUGUGUGGUCCUGCAAAGCCUCCUGGGAACGGGCUGAGGAUACGGGCUCCUUGAGUGUUUCCGUCCUGGGGGAGCAGGUGCCUCUGGGGUAUGUGUGUGUACUGCCAGGGCAGAGAGGGGCAAGAUUGGAGGGUACCGGGGUGCAUGAGAGGGGACCCUUGAGAGACUGGGACCACAAGGCAGGGAGUGUCCUCAAGAGCAAACGUGAGGAACAGAGGGAUUGAGGCUAAGGGGCUGACUCGGAGGCAUCCCUGAAAACAGGCCUGGGGGCUGAGGGGGUCCCCCCCGUCCCCUCCUCACUGGAGGAUAGCCGAGUGCACUGGUGACCACACCAAGUAGCUGGGGUCUCGGAAUCCUCUUGGGGAGGGGUGCCAGUUCUAGGUGCCCUGGGGAGGGCAGCAGGAAGGCCCCAGAGGGGGCCUGUUGGCGGCUCCAGCUCCUCCCUCUGCACGCGAGGCGGCCCCUCCCUGCCCCCUUCUCACUCGCUCUGGCCCCCAGGCUUGGCACCGCAGCAUGGCACCUGCAUAGCAUAGCAGGUGAGAAGGGGAGGAGGUGAGAGAGCCUGCAUUCGGGCGUGAACCCUCCAAGCCUCCACUCUGCUAAUUAAACCAUUUCCUGAUAAAACUCAGGCUUUCAGGGAUGGGUGUGGGAGCCAGUCUGCGGGCAGCUGUAGGAGCCCACGCCACCUGGCUGGCGCCCCCCUCACAGGCAGAUCACUGGGAACCGGGUGGGCAGUGCCCAGAGCAGAGAAGCCAGCGGCUCCAGUGUCCCAGGAAGCCACUCUUCAGGGACAGAGCCUUUCUCGAGAAAAAACAUGGGACUCCCACUGUGACAGCUGUCCUCCCCGCUUCCCUUGACAUGUGGGCCAGAGCCAGGACCUGGGGAGCAAGGGCAGCUAUGGCCAGAGGUGGCCUGGGACUUGACUCCCAUCCCCUGGUGCUAGGCCAGCAGAGCGGGCCAGGGGCCACCCCAGCCUGGACUAUUGGCCACGCCGCCCCCCAGCCCCAGGCCCAGCAAUCCCUCCCUGCGCUGUCUGGGGGCUCUGGCCGCCUGGCUGUACCAGUUUAGGGUGCCUUCCCCACAGUGUGGCUGAGCAGUGGGGACCUAGAAAGGCCACUGAGCAGGCAGUGGCGAGACAGAAGAGCCAGCAGACGCCUGAAGAGGCCUCCAGUGCCUGGAGUGAGCUCGCGUCUUUGAAAUCUCCGAGCCAGCGGGCGGCUGGAGCUGCGAGAGGGGGUGUGGGCUGGCCAAGGGCGGCUGGAGCUCAGCCGGGCGCGUGACCACUGCUCUCAGCCUCUGGGCAGGGAGGCCCUUGAGGGGGCUUGACGGCUCUGCUGUUGGGGGCAAGGGGAGGGGGGACACAGGGCCCUCCAAGGCCUGUCCUCCUGCCCUCAGGAGGGGCGCCGUGGCCAGAGCCCACCCAUGCAAGACAGGAGACAUUCAUGGCCUUUGUCCCCACCACCCCUGCCGCAGAGUCCUGUGAAGGAGCUGCCUGCUGGUCUGGUCUACCUUGCAGGGCUUGUUGUAACUCAGUUUCCAUGCACGAGGGUCUGUGUCCAGCCCGUGGCAGCCCGGCGAGGACGAGUGUGGUACAGCCAGCAAAGGCCAGGCCUUUCUCUGGAAAUUGGCCUGCUUUUGCUGGCAGAACAGUGGCUAUGCCUUUCCGCUGUGCCCCACGGUGAGCUCUUAGCUGAGGGGGCCCUCAGCGGGUGCAGGCGGUGGGAGCCCCAGACAGAAGCCCCCGUCCCCUCCUGGUCACUGGCCGGCUUCCACAUGCGCUCACCUAGGCCCUAGACCACCCUGCCCACAAGAUGGGCCCCACACAGUGUACAGGCCAUAGCUCUCGAGCAGGUGUUUGAAGGAGGACUUUGCUGGUAUGUCUAGUGGGCUUGGGGACCAUGGAGGUCACAGUUAGAGGCCUCCCAGGGAGCAGGCUGAGGUGCUUUCAGAACUUAGAUUCUGCUCAAGGUCCCCCUCCUCUGUCACCACUGCCCUCGGCUCUCUCUCCAGCCUCAGAUUCGUAUGGCCAGGGUUGAGCAUGCAUCCCAGGGACCCUCAGCACCCUGCCAGCUGCUGCAUUGGCAACGCCAGUCCUCCUUAGACCUCCACCACUGGCCACACGCAAAGCCAU
Molecule: long non-coding RNA, 2370 nt
Filed under: Sus scrofa (pig)
Lineage: Eukaryota; Metazoa; Chordata; Mammalia; Artiodactyla; Suidae
Description: lncRNA (ENSSSCG00035050798.1)
Source: RNAcentral